AACAUGCAUAUACAUUAAUCGUCAUAUACAUGUAUAACAAUUUCAUGACGAGUGAUAAAAAAAAAAUGGAAAGAUGAAAAUUUAUAAAAAACCGAAGCUAGUGGAUAUCUGACUUUGAAAAUUGUGCCCACUUGAAAAUGAUCGGAAGGGCGAGGGGGGAGGGACCUCGGAAACAGCCGACUGCAUCGAUUUUCCAUGGAAUGCCCUAUGUGCCUGGUCAAUUGUAAGCAGAUGCAUCGCUCGAUAGAACCCAGACAAGGAGGAUGAUGAUACGGUAAUGAGGAUGAGGAUGGAAAAACGGAGAGUGCAAGAUGAGCGGAAAUGAAACGGAUAGCGAAACUUACGCUUAAAAAUCGAUUAUCAUGAAAUUGUAUUCGGCAAUGUUGGGCAAUACUGGGCAACAUUGGACAACGUUGAGUCGACUCAGUUUGGUAAAAAAUUUAAUACGACGACCAAGCAGAGAAGAAAAAAAAAAUAACACGAAAAGUGCUGAAAGAUUGAAGCGUCUCUAAUGGACUAAAUUAUAUUUGAAUA
Long non-coding RNA from Neodiprion virginianus, 534 nucleotides. RefSeq lists it as uncharacterized. The transcript is spliced from 3 exons. The record is from RefSeq and is a predicted model, not a curated record. NCBI's taxonomy places the organism in Eukaryota, Metazoa, Arthropoda, Insecta, Hymenoptera, Diprionidae.